UACAGAGGUCUCAAGCGUUGUUCGGAAUCACUGGGCGUAAAGGGUGCGUAGGUGGCGUGGUAAGUCAGAUGUGAAAGCCCGGGCGUCAACCUACGGACUAGCAUCCGAUACUGCCACUGCUAGAGAACUGAAGAGGAGUGUAGAAUUCUCGGUGUAGCAGUGAAAUGCGUAGAUAUCGAGAGGAAUACCAACGGCGAAGGCAGCACUCUGGGCAGUUUC
RNAcentral lists this ribosomal RNA (219 nucleotides) under uncultured bacterium. RNAcentral describes it as "partial 16S ribosomal RNA". It matches the Rfam family "Bacterial small subunit ribosomal RNA", at positions 524 to 740 of the family's 1533-position model. The record is from RNAcentral.